UUUGCCAACUCGGUUAUAAUACAACUGGACACUUUUCUUUGAUGUGUAUAUAAACACUGUACUCAUUAAUUGCAAGAUAUGAGAUUCACACUUUUCUCAACUGUUUACUCUAUAAUAUGGUAUCAGAGCAACGCUAGAUUUGAGGCAGUUAUUUUCUUUUUGGCUUCUCCUUUACGAUUCUUCUCAUUUCUUCUUGUCACCUUUUCAAGUUUUCUGGUUCAUUAAUGGCAGAUUCAAGCUCAUUUCAGCAAGAUGUUGCUUCUGGAUCUAAUGUCAAUCCUGUAGAAGACACUUCUUCGCCGUUUUAUCUUCAUCAUUUUGAGAAUCACAGUUCAGUAAUUGUUACUCCAGAACUCACUUCAACAAAUUUUCCAUCUUGGAAAAGGUCCUUUCUCUUGGCAGUUUCUAUACAUAAUAAACAAGGGUUUCUUGAUGGAUCCAUUGUUAAACCCUCACCAGAAGACUCAACAUAUCUACCAUGGAUAAGGUGCAAUAAUCUCAUUGUGGCAUGGCUCUUGAGAUCAAUCUCACCUCCAAUUACAUCAACAGUGUUUUAUAUGGAAGAUGCAAAGCAGAUCUGGGAGAAAUUGCACCAAAGGUUUUCACAACCUAAUGAUUCUAGAAUCUGUCACCUUCAACAUUUGUUGUGUACCAUUACCCAAGGUACAAAAUCUGUGGAUGCAUAUUUUACUGAAUUAAAUGGUGUUUGGGAAGAAUUAAGGAAUUUUAGGCCUUUUUUGCAUUGUUCUUGUGGUAAAUGCAAUCAAGAAUGUUUUCAAAGAUUUGUGGAGGUUCAGCAAAGAGAUUAUGUGUUUAAGUUUCUUAAUGGGUUAAACGAGACUUAUCAAGGUUUAAGGUCACAAAUCAUAUUGAUGAAGCCUUUUCCUACCUUGGAUCAAGUCUAUAAUAUGCUUUUGUGCGAGGAAACACAAAGAUCUCUCAUGAUGCAGACUCAGAGUUUUUCAGAAACUUCUGCUAUGGCUGUCAAAAGGUCCAAACCUGAUGUAACUCGCUUUCAUUGUGCCAAGCCUGGACAUGUUAAGGCCAAUUGUUUUUGGUUGAUAGGGUUUCCUCCUAAUUUCAAAUUCUCAAAAUCCAAGGUAGGAUCUGGUAGUUUUUUUGCAAAUUCUAAGCAAGCAUCUGCACAGCAAGUCACAGGCAAGUGUUCUGUUGAUGUUGUGGUUGAUAAUAUUCCUAAGUUAAAUCUCUCUAAGGAACAAGUGAACAAGCUAAUGUCACUUCUCAAUGAUCAAGCUAAUAUCACUGUACCUAACCCUAUUUCAUUUUCAUCUCCAAAUCAAAAUGUCUCACAAGUGAAUACUGUGGGUAUAUGUUCUUAUAUUCUUUCUGCUGUAUCACAUUCAAUUUUUCAUAAAAUUCUCCUCACUGAUUUUAUUCAACCACCAUGGAUUGUGGAUAGUGGUGCCACAGAUCAUAUAAUAUGCAAUAGUUCUCUUUUUCACACUUUUGUUUCAGUUAGUGAUUCAUUUGUUUCUUUACCUAAUGGAGUCAAAGUCCAAGUCACAGUUGUUGGUACUGUUAAGCUCAAUCCUUAUCUUAUUCUUACUAAUAUUCUUUUAGUUCUUUCUUUUAAUUUCAAUUUGUUGUCCAUAAGUAGACUCAUUCAUUCCAAUCAGAUAUGUUGUAUAAUUGUUUCCAAUUAUUGCUUUAUCCAGGUCCUUUCAUCAUGGAUAACGAUUGGAUUGGCUAAGCAAAAGGAUGGAUUGUUCUACUUGUUGCAGCAAUAUACUAUCUCUCCCAGUAAUUGCUCCACUGUGCAGUCUCCUAAUGUUUCUUUUGAUAUUUGGCAUCAUAGGUUAGGUCAUCUUGCUGAUGACAGAUUAACUAUUUUACAGUCUUUACUUUCUUUUUCCACAAAUAAGUCACAUCAUCCUUGUUAUACUUGUCCUCGAGCCAAACAAAAGAGGCUUCCUUUUCCUAAACACAUUUUUGUUACUGUUUCUCCAUUUGAGCUUGUGCAUAUGGAUGUAUG
This 1993-nucleotide unclassified non-coding RNA is filed under the name Hevea brasiliensis (rubber tree). The record is from RNAcentral. Lineage: Eukaryota; Viridiplantae; Streptophyta; Magnoliopsida; Malpighiales; Euphorbiaceae.